CCUACGGGCCGCAGCAGUGGGGAAUAUUGCACAAUGGGCGCAAGCCUGAUGCAGCCAUGCCGCGUGUAUGAAGAAGGCCGUCGGGUUGUAAAGUACUUUCAGCGGGGAGGAAGGUGUUGAGGUUAAUAACCUCAGCAAUUGACGUUACCCGCAGAAGAAGCACCGGCUAACUCCGUGCCAGCAGCCGCGGUAAUACGGAGGAUGCAAGCGUUAAUCGGAAUUACUGGGCGUAAAGCGCACGCAGGCGGUCUGUCAAGUCGGAUGUGAAAUCCCCGGGCUCAACCUGGGAACUGCAUUCGAAACUGGCAGGCUAGAGUCUUGUAGAGGGGGGGUAGAAUUCCGUGUGUAGCGGUGAAAUGCGUAGAGAUGUGGAGGAAUACCGGUGGCGAAGGCGGCCCCCUGGACAAAGACUGACGCUCAGGUGCGAAAGCGUGGGGAGCAAACAGGAUUAGAUACCCCUGUAGUC
Molecule: ribosomal RNA, 466 nt
Filed under: uncultured bacterium
Lineage: Bacteria
Description: bacterial SSU rRNA
Rfam family: Bacterial small subunit ribosomal RNA
Source: RNAcentral